GAUGAAGAACGUAGCGAAAUGCGAUACUUGGUGUGAAUUGCAGAAUCCCGUGAACCAUCGAGUCUUUGAACGCAAGUUGCGCCCGAAGCCAUUAGGCCGAGGGCACGCUUGCCUGGGCGUCACACGUCGUUGCCCCCCCAUCUACUCCUUCGGGAUUGCGGGGGCGGAUGAUGGCCUCCCGUGCGCCUCGCCGCGCGGUUGGCAUAAAUGCCAAGUCCUCGGCGACGCACGCCACGACAAUCGGUGGUUGCGAAACCUCGGUUGCCCGUCGUGUGCGGUCGUCGCGCAUCGAGGGCUCGAAAAAAUUGCCGGGUUCCGGCUCGGCUUUCAACGCGACCCCAGGUCAGGCGGGGUUACCCGCUGAAUUUAAGCAUAUCAAUAAGCGGAGGA
This 390-nucleotide unclassified non-coding RNA is filed under the name soil metagenome. Its description in RNAcentral is "partial contains 5.8S ribosomal RNA, internal transcribed spacer 2, and large subunit ribosomal RNA". The stretch from base 1 to 122 matches the Rfam family "5.8S ribosomal RNA", at positions 35 to 154 of the family's 154-position model. The record is from RNAcentral.